AUAAAGGCGUAAGUUUAGAACUUUAAGUUAUUCAUUCUAAUAUAAUCAUCAAUUAAUAAAUUCUAAAAGCUUAAAUUAUAAUUUUUUUUAAUGUCUUUAACAGUGCAUAUGCAAAUAUUAGUUCAAAUGCUAUUGUAUUUGGCAAAAAUGGACCGAGAUAUGGACCUUUGCUUGUCCAAAGCAACCAUACAAUUACGAAUGUGGUUACUAUGUACUAACUUACAUUCGUGAUAUGCUUCAACAUUCAAAUCCCAUUGAAGCCAUAAAAGCAAAAUUUGGCGGCCUAUCCCAAUAUUCUGAGGACGAUCAUCUCUUACCGCUUCGACAACAGUGGUUAAGUCAAUUGCUUCCCUUGAUAUAUAAAAAUUAACUAGUAGUCUUUUAUUGUAUUUUUUUAGACAAUGUGUAGUAUUUAAUUUAGAGAUUUAUGCAUAAUAUGUAAAGUGUUAUUUAGAAUUGAACUUACAAAUUAUUAUUGUUGUUAUUAAAAAUGAUAUUAAUCAUUUAUUUUAAA
Cannabis sativa is the source of this 514-nucleotide long non-coding RNA. RefSeq lists it as uncharacterized. NCBI's taxonomy places the organism in Eukaryota, Viridiplantae, Streptophyta, Magnoliopsida, Rosales, Cannabaceae. The transcript is spliced from 2 exons. The record is from RefSeq and is a predicted model, not a curated record.